RNAcentral lists this ribosomal RNA (253 nucleotides) under uncultured bacterium. RNAcentral's name for it is "partial 16S ribosomal RNA". It matches the Rfam family "Bacterial small subunit ribosomal RNA", at positions 524 to 776 of the family's 1533-position model. The record is from RNAcentral.
UACGUAGGGGGCAAGCGUUAUCCGGAUUUACUGGGUGUAAAGGGAGCGUGGACGGCCAGACAAGUCUGAAGUGAAAAUCCAGCGCUUAACGUUGGAAGUGCUUUGGAAACUGCCGGGCUGGAGUGCAGGAGGGGCAGGCGGAAUUCCUAGUGUAGCGGUGAAAUGCGUAGAUAUUAGGAGGAACACCAGUGGCGAAGGCGGCCUGCUGGACUGCAACUGACGUUGAGGCUCGAAGGCGUGGGGAGCAAACAGG